UGCCAGCCAGGUAGAAGGGACUGAUAAAAGGCCGGUUGCCAGGGAGUGAUCCCAGCAGAGAGAGGCUGGGCAUGAAAGGAGGCGGUGAUGGGACUCCAGAGAGCUCUGUCACCCUCUUUCUGCCAUGUGAGGAAACAACAAGAAAUUGGCAUUCUGCAGCUCAGAAAAGGAUCCUCCCUGGACCCCAACCAUGUUGGCAUUGUGAUCUUAGAGUUCCCAGACUUCAGAACUGUGGAAGCCAAGUGAUGGCCAGGGUCACAGUGAGCAAAUGGCAGAUGGGAUCUUGCAUCCUAGGUUCUCAGAACCUACAGCCUGGAGGUGGAGUUAAUGGUCACCACUUCCUUUGAAUGCAUAGGACAACAAGCA
Molecule: RNA transcript, 366 nt
Organism: Symphalangus syndactylus (siamang)
Lineage: Eukaryota; Metazoa; Chordata; Mammalia; Primates; Hylobatidae
Gene name: myelodysplastic syndrome 2 translocation-associated protein-like
Source: RefSeq, a predicted model, not a curated record